GCCCUGGUGGCACAGUGGUUAAAUGCUUGUACUUUAGAUAACAAAGUUGUGAGUUCAAUCCCAGCCAGGGGCU
Phrynosoma platyrhinos (Desert horned lizard) is the source of this 73-nucleotide non-coding RNA. The record is from the annotation of a GenBank genome assembly. NCBI's taxonomy places the organism in Eukaryota, Metazoa, Chordata, Lepidosauria, Squamata, Phrynosomatidae.